AGAGUUUGAUCAUGGCUCAGAUUGAACGCUGGCGGCAGGCCUAACACAUGCAAGUCGAGCGGUAGCACAGAGAGCUUGCUCUCGGGUGACGAGCGGCGGACGGGUGAGUAAUGUCUGGGAAACUGCCUGAUGGAGGGGGAUAACUACUGGAAACGGUAGCUAAUACCGCAUAACGUCGCAAGACCAAAGUGGGGGACCUUCGGGCCUCAUGCCAUCAGAUGUGCCCAGAUGGGAUUAGCUAGUAGGUGGGGUAAUGGCUCACCUAGGCGACGAUCCCUAGCUGGUCUGAGAGGAUGACCAGCCACACUGGAACUGAGACACGGUCCAGACUCCUACGGGAGGCAGCAGUGGGGAAUAUUGCACAAUGGGCGCAAGCCUGAUGCAGCCAUGCCGCGUGUGUGAAGAAGGCCUUCGGGUUGUAAAGCACUUUCAGCGGGGAGGAAGGCGAUAAGGUUAAUAACCUUAGCGAUUGACGUUACCCGCAGAAGAAGCACCGGCUAACUCCGUGCCAGCAGCCGCGGUAAUACGGAGGGUGCAAGCGUUAAUCGGAAUUACUGGGCGUAAAGCGCACGCAGGCGGUCUGUCAAGUCGGAUGUGAAAUCCCCGGGCUCAACCUGGGAACUGCAUUCGAAACUGGCAGGCUAGAGUCUUGUAGAGGGGGGUAGAAUUCCAGGUGUAGCGGUGAAAUGCGUAGAGAUCUGGAGGAAUACCGGUGGCGAAGGCGGCCCCCUGGACAAAGACUGACGCUCAGGUGCGAAAGCGUGGGGAGCAAACAGGAUUAGAUACCCUGGUAGUCCACGCCGUAAACGAUGUCGAUUUGGAGGUUGUGCCCUUGAGGCGUGGCUUCCGGAGCUAACGCGUUAAAUCGACCGCCUGGGGAGUACGGCCGCAAGGUUAAAACUCAAAUGAAUUGACGGGGGCCCGCACAAGCGGUGGAGCAUGUGGUUUAAUUCGAUGCAACGCGAAGAACCUUACCUGGUCUUGACAUCCACAGAACUUACCAGAGAUGCAUUGGUGCCUUCGGGAAUUGUGAGACAGGUGCUGCAUGGCUGUCGUCAGCUCGUGUUGUGAAAUGUUGGGUUAAGUCCCGCAACGAGCGCAACCCUUAUCCUUUGUUGCCAGCGGUUAGGCCGGGAACUCAAAGGAGACUGCCAGUGAUAAACUGGAGGAAGGUGGGGAUGACGUCAAGUCAUCAUGGCCCUUACGACCAGGGCUACACACGUGCUACAAUGGCAUAUACAAAGAGAAGCGACCUCGCGAGAGCAAGCGGACCUCAUAAAGUAUGUCGUAGUCCGGAUUGGAGUCUGCAACUCGACUCCAUGAAGUCGGAAUCGCUAGUAAUCGUAGAUCAGAAUGCUACGGUGAAUACGUUCCCGGGCCUUGUACACACCGCCCGUCACACCAUGGGAGUGGGUUGCAAAAGAAGUAGGUAGCUUAACCUUCGGGAGGGCGCUUACCACUUUGUGAUUCAUGACUGGGGUGAAGUCGUAACAAGGUAACCGUAGGGGAACCUGCGGUUGGAUCACCU
Molecule: ribosomal RNA, 1528 nt
Filed under: Klebsiella pneumoniae UCICRE 7
Lineage: Bacteria; Pseudomonadati; Pseudomonadota; Gammaproteobacteria; Enterobacterales; Enterobacteriaceae
Description: bacterial SSU rRNA
Rfam family: Bacterial small subunit ribosomal RNA
Source: RNAcentral